RNAcentral lists this long non-coding RNA (267 nucleotides) under Populus trichocarpa (black cottonwood). RNAcentral's name for it is "long non-coding RNA (PTRI_LNC004550)". Lineage: Eukaryota; Viridiplantae; Streptophyta; Magnoliopsida; Malpighiales; Salicaceae. The record is from RNAcentral.
AUGAGUCGUCAUCUCCUCCUGCAACGAUCUCUCCUUCUUCUAGAUCGUCUUCGGUGUUAGGGUUUGGAGUUUUUUCUGUUGCUAAUUUUUGUGGGUCUUCAACAUCCAUAUUUCUUUUGUUUUUGUUCCUUCAAGUUCUAGGUUAGGUUAUUAUACAAAUAGAGAAAAUGAAAGUUAAUAUACGCGGAUUCAUAACACACAACAGAAACGCCUGAAUUUUUUUUUUUUAAACGUGAAAAAGGUGUAACUUAAUUAGUCAAUUUUUUU